AAAGAAGAACACGUAUGAGAGUAACUGUUCAUACGUUGACGGUAUUUAACCAGAAAGUCACGGCUAACUACGUGCCAGCAGCCGCGGUAAUACGUAGGUGGCAAGCGUUAUCCGGAUUUAUUGGGCGUAAAGAGAGUGCAGGCGGUUUUGGCUAAGUCUGAUGUGAAAGCCUUCGGCUUAACCGGAGAAGUGCAUCGGAAACUGAUAACUUGAGUGCAGAAGAGGGUAGUGGAACUCCAUGUGAGCGGUGGAAUGCGUAGAUAUAUGGAAGAACACCAGUGGCGAAGGCGGCUACCUGCCGUCUGCAACUGACGCUGAGACUCGAAAGCAUGGGUAGCGAACAGGAUUAGAUACCCUGGUAGUCCAUGCGUAAACGAUGAGUGCUAGGUGUUGGAGGGUUUCCGCCCU
This 408-nucleotide ribosomal RNA is filed under the name Limosilactobacillus fermentum. RNAcentral's name for it is "bacterial SSU rRNA". It matches the Rfam family "Bacterial small subunit ribosomal RNA", at positions 441 to 839 of the family's 1533-position model. The record is from RNAcentral. Lineage: Bacteria; Bacillati; Bacillota; Bacilli; Lactobacillales; Lactobacillaceae.